Molecule: ribosomal RNA, 460 nt
Filed under: uncultured bacterium
Lineage: Bacteria
Description: partial 16S ribosomal RNA
Rfam family: Bacterial small subunit ribosomal RNA
Source: RNAcentral
CCUACGGGUGGCUGCAGUGAGGAAUAUUGGUCAAUGGGCGCGAGCCUGAACCAGCCAAGUCGCGUGAGGGAAGACGGUCCUAUGGAUUGUAAACCUCUUUUGUCGGGGAGCAAAAGACGCCACGCGUGGCGUUCCGAGAGUACCCGAAGAAAAAGCAUCGGCUAACUCCGUGCCAGCAGCCGCGGUAAUACGGAGGAUGCGAGCGUUAUCCGGAUUUAUUGGGUUGAAAGGGGGCGCAGGGGGGAUGUCAAGUCAGUUGUAAAAAUGGAGGGCUUAACCCUAGUAGAGCAGUUGAAACUGGUUGUCUUGAGUACGUGAGAGGUAGGCGGAAUUCGUGGUGUAGCGGUGAAAUGCAUAGAUAUCACGAAGAACUCCGAUUGCGAAGGCAGCUUACCGGAGCGCAACUGACGCUGAUGCUCGAAAGUGUGGGUAUCAAACAGGAUUAGAUACCCUGGUAGUC